UUGUUGCUAAAAAGAUUUGUAACAAAAAAAUAUUUUAAACCAAAAAAAAUGUGCAAUUAAAAAAAUAUUGGUAACAAUAUAAAGGAUUUGUAACAAAAAUAUAUUAAACAAAAAAAUAACAAAAAAGAUUCCUAGCUAAAAAAAGAUUUGUAGCCAAAAAAAAAAAGAUUUUGUAACUCCCCCCAAAAAAUUGACUUUAUUUUAAAACAUAUAUUGAAAAACAAAUAAAUAAUAAAAAAAGGUUUGUAAAACUUUUUUGCUGGAUAUUAUUUUUUUUAAAUAUAAAUUAUAAAAUAUAAAAAUUCGCUUUUUCUUGCAUAAAAAGACAUAAUUUGUUGCUCCGCCCCUGACUUGUGGCGUGCCUCUGGGCAUCAGUGCUGAGCCUCGGCCUGGUCCUGUAAACCUUCUGGCAGAUGGGAUGUGGAGCUUCCAGCUCAUGUAACACAACCCUCCAACUUAUUUCCAGUCUGCAAAGUGGGCAAGACUGGACCCUCACUUGGUUACGGCUACAUUUGAUGACACCGGGGUCACCUGACAGCACACCCCGGGUCAUGUGUGGUGUUAUGUCAUGGCGUGGAAACAGGAGACGCCAUCUUGGCAGUCAUUUUCUAGGAAUUGUCAACAGCUCACUCGUUUUACUCCCAGCUGACUAACACUCAUCUUUUUUCCAUCAUGGACAGCUAGACAGCUAGAUACAGUAUAUUGCCAAAAGUACCUGCCUUGACUCACCUAUGAACUAGAAGUGCCAUCCCAUUCCUAACCCAUAGGCUUCAAUAUGAUGUCAUCCACCUUUUGCAGCUAUUACAGCUUCAACUCUUCUGGGAAGGCUGUCCACAAGGUUGCCGAGUGUGUUCAUAGGAAUUUUCCACCAUUCUUCCAAAAGCGCUUUGAGUACGGCCCCAGCCACCCAGAGAGCCCAACCCAAAACAGCAGUGCCCAGGGAACAAGGGACCACCGGCCCCACGCAGUCAGGCCGGCCAGCGACAGGAACCCCAGAACCGGGCCCACCGUGCCGCCCGGCAGAGGACAAGGCACGGGAGAAGCCGGGGACAGCCUGCCCCAGAGCCAGCGAGAGACCACACCCCACGCAGGCAGAGGUGACCAGAGACUACCCGUAGCUGGAUGGGAGGACCGCCCCACCUGAAGGGACCCCAAGGUUGGAGAUGGAACCUCCAGCAACUAUCGCACGGCCACACAAGCUGGCAUCAAUUACAGGAGGACACUACAUUACGUAAUAUCAUGGCAGAAAUGACAUCAAGAUGAGGGACAUUAAUGUUUAUAAAUGUGAACAUAAUGUCCUGUGACCCCUCCCUCCCAGUGCCACAAAUAGAUGACAGUCCUGUGGGAAGCACUCUGAUGUUAUUUGGCUUUGUGGAACUAUUUGCAUGUUGGAAUGCUAUUUUUGCACCAAUCAAAGCUGCUUAUUUUCCUUUGGAGCCAAAAGUGAGUUGGCCGCGUUCCACCGCCCGCUCCCAAACAUCACUCGGCCUCAUCGUCCUCCAUGAGUGCGUCCUCCUGCCAAGUGUACUCCUGCCUCUGGUGGACGGCUCUCCGUCGUCAUGGCAACGCUGACAACCCAGAGUGACGGAGGCCGCAGGUGCGCCCGUGUACUCUUGGUUCUGGAUCAGCCGAUGAUCCGUCACCAGGCCCAGGAGGGUUUGUGGGUGCUAAAUCGCACACGCAGGCAGAAAUCUUCUCAAAGCAGGGAGCUUCUUGUACACAUUUUUCUAAGCUCACAUCAUUUUUAAAGACUCAUAUUAUCAUUUUUAAAGACUCAUAUUAUCAUUUUUAAAGACUCAUAUUAUCAUUUUUAAAGGCUCUCAUUAUCAUUUUUAAAGGCUCAUAUUAUCAUUUUUAAAGGCUCAUAUUAUCAUUUUUAAAGACUCAUUAUCAUUUUUAAAGGCUCAUAUUAUCAUUUUUAAAGGCUCAUAUUAUCAUUUUUAAAAGCUCAUAUUAUCAUUUUUAAAGACUCAUAUCAUUUUUAAAGAUUCAUAUAAUUUUUUAAAGGCUCAUAAUAUAAUUUUUAAUGGUUAAUACAACAAUUUUUAAAGGCUCAUCUCAUAUUAUCAUUUUUAAAGGCUCAUAUUAUCAUUUUUAAGGACUCAUAUAAUUUUUAAAGGUUCAUAUCAU
Molecule: long non-coding RNA, 2130 nt
Organism: Entelurus aequoreus (snake pipefish)
Lineage: Eukaryota; Metazoa; Chordata; Actinopteri; Syngnathiformes; Syngnathidae
Exons: 3
Source: RefSeq, a predicted model, not a curated record